This 231-nucleotide ribosomal RNA is filed under the name uncultured bacterium. Its description in RNAcentral is "partial 16S ribosomal RNA". It matches the Rfam family "Bacterial small subunit ribosomal RNA", at positions 118 to 350 of the family's 1533-position model. The record is from RNAcentral.
UGACCAACCUGCCCCUUGCUCUGGGAUAACCCCGGGGAAACCGGAGCUAAUACCGGAUACGAGACCGUGCGGCAUCACGCGGUCUGGAAAGUUUUUCGGCAAGGGAUGGGGUCGCGGCCUAUCAGCUUGUUGGUGGGGUAAUGGCCCACCAAGGCGACGACGGGUAGCCGGCCUGAGAGGGCGACCGGCCACACUGGGACUGAGACACGGCCCAGACUCCUACGGGAGGCA